GAUGAACGCUGGCGGCGUGCCUAAUACAUGCAAGUCGAGCGAACGGACGAUAAGCUUGCUUUUCUUAUGUUAGCGGCGGACGGGUGAGUAACACGUGGAUAACCUACCUAUAAGACUGGGAUAACUUCGGGAAACCGGAGCUAAUACCGGAUAAUAUUUUGAACCGCAUGGUUCAAAAGUGAAAGACGGUCUUGCUGUCACUUAUAGAUGGAUCCGCGCUGCAUUAGCUAGUUGGUAAGGUAACGGCAUACCAAGGCAACGAUGCAUAGCCGACCUGAGAGGGUGAUCGGCCACACUGGAACUGAACCGCGGUCCAGACUCAUACGGGAGGCAGCAGUAGGGAAUCUUACGCAAUGGGCGGAAGCCUGACGGAGCAAAGCCACGUGAGUGAUGAAGGUCUUGGGAUCGUAGAACUAUGUUAUUAGGAAAGAACAUAUGUGUAAGUAACUGUGCACAUCUUGACGGUACCUAAUCAGAAAGCCACGGCUAACUACGUG
This 497-nucleotide ribosomal RNA is filed under the name uncultured bacterium. Its description in RNAcentral is "partial 16S ribosomal RNA". It matches the Rfam family "Bacterial small subunit ribosomal RNA", at positions 28 to 507 of the family's 1533-position model. The record is from RNAcentral.